Molecule: non-coding RNA, 181 nt
Organism: Leptospirillum ferrooxidans C2-3
Lineage: Bacteria; Pseudomonadati; Nitrospirota; Nitrospiria; Nitrospirales; Nitrospiraceae
Rfam family: 6S / SsrS RNA
About the family: E. coli 6S RNA was the first non coding RNA to be sequenced, but its function was unknown until recently. It consists of 184 nucleotides that fold into an extended hairpin structure with a large single-stranded internal bulge.
Source: Rfam
GAAGCCCUGCUCUGUACGAGGCGCGGUUUAAUUUGUUACCUGUAAAUCUUGAGAAAUGGUGUGUCAGUGUUCAUGGUGAGCAUGCCCGGAAACCUCCGGGAAGCCUAAAAUGGCCUACAGCACCAAUCCUUAUCCCCUAAGGUAUCUCAAAAAAAACCGUAACGGCAGUAGCGGGGCAUUA